GGCGGACGGGUGAGUAAUGCUUAGGAAUCUGCCUAUUAGUGGGGGACAACGUUCCGAAAGGAAUGCUAAUACCGCAUACGUCCUACGGGGGAAAGCAGGGGAUCUUCGGACCUUGCGCUAAUAGAUGAGCCUAAGUCGGAUUAGCUAGUUGGUGGGGUAAAGGCCUACCAAGGCGACGAUCUGUAGCGGGUCUGAGAGGAUGAUCCGCCACACUGGGACUGAGACACGGCCCAGACUCCUACGGGAGGCAGCAGUGGGGAAUAUUGGACAAUGGGCGAAAGCCUGAUCCAGCCAUGCCGCGUGUGUGAAGAAGGCCUUUUGGUUGUAAAGCACUUUAAGCGAGGAGGAGGCUCCUUUAGUUAAUACCUAAAGUGAGUGGACGUUACUCGCAAAAUAAGCACCGGCUAAUUCUGUGCCAGCAGCCGCGGUAAUACAGAGGGUGCGAGCGUUAAUCGGAUUUACUGGGCGUAAAGCGUGCGUAGGCGGCUUUUUAAGUCGGAUGUGAAAUCCCUGAGCUUAACUUAGGAAUUGCAUUCGAUACUGGAAAGCUAGAGUAUGGGAGAGGAUGGUAGAAUUCCAGGUGUAGCGGUGAAAUGCGUAGAGAUCUGGAGGAAUACCGAUGGCGAAGGCAGCCAUCUGGCCUAAUACUGACGCUGAGGUACGAAAGCAUGGGGAGCAAACAGGAUUAGAUACCCUGGUAGUCCAUGCCGUAAACGAUGUCUACUAGCCGUUGGGGCCUUUGAGGCUUUAGUGGCCCAGCUAACGCGAUAAGUAGACCGCC
This 781-nucleotide ribosomal RNA is filed under the name Acinetobacter sp. A1a-47. RNAcentral's name for it is "bacterial SSU rRNA". It matches the Rfam family "Bacterial small subunit ribosomal RNA", at positions 97 to 873 of the family's 1533-position model. Lineage: Bacteria; Pseudomonadati; Pseudomonadota; Gammaproteobacteria; Moraxellales; Moraxellaceae. The record is from RNAcentral.